RNAcentral lists this ribosomal RNA (253 nucleotides) under uncultured microorganism. RNAcentral describes it as "partial 16S ribosomal RNA". It matches the Rfam family "Bacterial small subunit ribosomal RNA", at positions 524 to 776 of the family's 1533-position model. The record is from RNAcentral.
UACGGAGGGUGCAAGCGUUAAUCGGAUUUACUGGGCGUAAAGCGUGCGCAGGCGGCCCGUUAAGACAGGGGUGAAAGCCCUAUGCUCAACAUAGGGAUUGCCUUUGAUACUGAACGGCUAGAGUGAAGAUGGAGUGGGUGGAAUGUGUUGUGUAGCGGUGAAAUGCAUAGAUAUAACACAGAACACCGAUCGCGAAGGCAGCUCACUAAUUUUCAACUGACGCUCAUGCACGAAAGCGUGGGGAUCAAACAGG